RNAcentral lists this ribosomal RNA (253 nucleotides) under uncultured bacterium. Its description in RNAcentral is "partial 16S ribosomal RNA". It matches the Rfam family "Bacterial small subunit ribosomal RNA", at positions 524 to 776 of the family's 1533-position model. The record is from RNAcentral.
UACGGGGGGGGCAAGCGUUGUCCGGAAUUAUUGGGCGUAAAGAGCUCGUAGGCGGUUUGUCGCGUCUGCUGUGAAAUCCCGAGGCUCAACCUCGGGUCUGCAGUGGGUACGGGCAGACUGGAGUGCGGUAGGGGAGAAUGGAAUUCCUGGUGUAGCGGUGGAAUGCGCAGAUAUCAGGAGGAACACCGAUGGCGAAGGCAGUUCUCUGGGCCGUAACUGACGCUGAGGAGCGAAAGCGUGGGGAGCGAACAGG